GACUAGUGGCGUUUCCCCGCCCCCCACAUCAACUCCGGGAUGUCUUGCACCCUCCCUAGCGGCAAACGACCCACUGGAAACAGAGGAACUGUGGCGCUGGCCGUGGUGGCACCCGGGGAUGCUGGCAUGAUUCUGGCGAUGCUAGUGGGGACACCGCUGCAACACAGAGGCACAACCAGGCCCACCGUGUCCCCUAUCACCUCCUGUCACUGCCUGAAGGCUUUUCCUUGCUUAGGGACCCCGGGCGAUUUGCGGGCCGGAUGCCUCUGCUACGCCCAGUCUCGGAGGCCAGCGCUGCAGGCUCAGCCUGUAGCUCCGAUGGACCCCUUUGGCACAACACCUCUUAGUUUAAUAUCAAAGGACUUACUUUUUUGAUCAGUGUCCCCCAGAAAGCCCUCUGUGGUCAAUUAAUAGACUGUAUCUUUCCAAAUCAAAUCAAAGAUGGAGAGUAGGCAGGGGACACAUCAGUCCUUCCCAGACCAUGUCCAUCCCUGCAGACCCGAGGUGAGGGCUGGGCACACCGUGUCUGGGGUGUGUCCUUGUUUUACCCUAGUUUUGCAGAGGAGAAAGAACACCUGUGCUGCAGGGAGAGAGUGAAGAACCUGACCCGGACUGAGCAGGAAGAGGAGAAGCACGAAACCCUGGUCCCGCCUGGCCGGUUGGGUUGGUCUCUGUCGAGGAGCCCUGCAGGAGUGGCCAGGAUGAAGCAUCACCCCAGAGAUGUGCUGGGAUGUGAGGAUCUGCUAAUGCCCAAGUGCUGGGGGCCUUGAGGACCUCAUCUGCCCUUGAAGGAGCAAGCACUGUCUGGAGGCUGUGCCUCUGCAGGCCACUGGCAGGCAGGUUUGGAGCCCAGGAGCUGAUGCAGGCCUUUGACUGAUGUUUCCUCCAGGACCCCAGAUGCUGUAGGAUCCCCUAAAGAGCAAGCUGCUUGCUGAGUAAAAGCAAAUAAAAUACCCCCAAACCAACAAACAGUGCAGGAGAGAGUG
Pogoniulus pusillus (Red-fronted tinkerbird) is the source of this 986-nucleotide long non-coding RNA. RefSeq lists it as uncharacterized. The transcript has 4 exons. The record is from RefSeq and is a predicted model, not a curated record. NCBI's taxonomy places the organism in Eukaryota, Metazoa, Chordata, Aves, Piciformes, Lybiidae.